AUGUGUAACAUACACGAAGUUGCGUGAGCUAAUUACCAUAAAAUAUUAUGUAGCAUAAUAAUAAUAUGAAUGGUAAUUAGGGGUGAUAGGCCUCUCAAGCGUAUGAUAUCUUGAUUCUUAUGAUAUGUAGUAGUACAAAGAUAAUUUAAGAGUUAUAAGGCUUUUAAAGGUAAUUAAGUUCAUUGUUAGUAAUUAGUUGGCUUAAACACCUACAUCUAUAUUAAUAUAAUAUUGAUGUUGAAUAAAUUAUUUAAAUUAAUAAGAUUCAAUUAAAUUUUAAAUUAUGAUAAUAAUGUUUUCAUAAGUAUUGAGAAGUUAUUAAUAGUGAACUCGGCAUUUUGCUUACAACUGUUUACCAAAAACAUAGCUGUGUGUAGUUACACACAGUAAUUUCUGCUCAAUGAGCUUUAAAUAGCCGCAGUACCCUGACUGUGCAAAGGUAGCGUAAUCAUUUGUCUUUUAAUUGGAGUCUCGUAUGAAAGAACAUAUGUGGGCAACCUUUACCAUUGAUAAUUCAAGAAAUUACUUAAUGGGUGCAAAAUCCCAUGAUAAAUAAAUAGACGAGAAGACCCUAGAAAUUUCUAAAAACGUUUUGUUGGGGCAACAUAGUAGCAAAUAAAUCUACUAUAUGUAUAUGACUUAUUAAAGAUAAAUUAAAUUACUCUAGGGAUAACAGCAUAAUCUAGAAAUGUUUGUGACCUCGAUGUUGGAUUAGGGAGUUGUUGUUAAAA
Molecule: ribosomal RNA, 731 nt
Filed under: Parachloritis renschi
Lineage: Eukaryota; Metazoa; Mollusca; Gastropoda; Stylommatophora; Camaenidae
Description: partial 16S ribosomal RNA
Rfam family: Archaeal large subunit ribosomal RNA (bases 346-490)
Source: RNAcentral